RNAcentral lists this unclassified non-coding RNA (240 nucleotides) under soil metagenome. Its description in RNAcentral is "partial contains 5.8S ribosomal RNA, internal transcribed spacer 2, and large subunit ribosomal RNA". The record is from RNAcentral.
AACGCACGAGACCUGCGGACCUGCGGAGGGAUCAUUACUGAGUGAGGGCCCUCUGGGUCCAACCUCCCACCCGUGUUUAACGAACCUUGUUGCUUCGGCGGGCCCGCCUCACGGCCGCCGGGGGGCAUCCGCCCCCGGGCCCGCGCCCGCCGAAGCCACCUGUGAACGCUGUCUGAAGUUGCAGUCUGAGAAAAUUAUUAAAUUAAUUAAAACUUUUAACAACGGAUCUCUAGAUCGGAA